RNAcentral lists this small nuclear RNA (111 nucleotides) under Salmo salar (Atlantic salmon). Its description in RNAcentral is "U5 spliceosomal RNA (ENSSSAG00000094792.1)". It matches the Rfam family "U5 spliceosomal RNA". From Rfam's summary of the family: U5 RNA is a component of both types of known spliceosome. The precise function of this molecule is unknown, though it is known that the 5' loop is required for splice site selection and p220 binding, and that both the 3' stem-loop and the Sm site are important for Sm protein binding and cap methylation. The record is from RNAcentral. Lineage: Eukaryota; Metazoa; Chordata; Actinopteri; Salmoniformes; Salmonidae.
CUUCAAUGGUUUCUCUUCACUACGCACAAGCCUUUCGCUUUUAGCUAAAGACUUCCGUGGAGAGGAACACUUUACGAAGUUCAACGUAUUUUUGGAAGGGCUUUGAGCUUU